GACGAACGCUGGCGGCGUGCUUAACACAUGCAAGUCGAGCGGUGAGGCCCGUUUCGGGGGUACACGAGCGGCGAACGGGUGAGUAACACGUGGGUGACCUGCCCUCAGCUCUGGGAUAAGCCUGGGAAACCGGGUCUAAUAUUGGAUAUGACUCCAUGACGCAUGUUGUGGGGUGGAAAGCCUUGUGCGGCUGAGGAUGGGCCCGCGGCCUAUCAGCUUGUUGGUGGGGUGAUGGCCUACCAAGGCGACGACGGGUAGCCGGCCUGAGAGGGCGACCGGCCACACUGGGACUGAGACACGGCCCAGACUCCUACGGGAGGCGGCAGUGGGGAAUCUUGCGCAAUGGGCGAAAGCCUGACGCAGCGACGCCGCGUGAGGGAUGACGGCCU
This 389-nucleotide ribosomal RNA is filed under the name uncultured bacterium. Its description in RNAcentral is "bacterial SSU rRNA". It matches the Rfam family "Bacterial small subunit ribosomal RNA", at positions 28 to 417 of the family's 1533-position model. The record is from RNAcentral.